CUGGUUUCCAAAUGGCUUUUCUUUCCUUUUUCUUCUGUGGCUGAUAAAGUUGCAAAUUAUAACAAUAACUGUAGUGGUGAUUUUGAUCACAUGGACCUUUUAUUAGGAAUACAGUGUUCCUUAUCUAGAGCUUAAGUAAUGUGGAUGUAUACAUUUGGGUUUUUUUAUUUCUACUGCAACUGUAGAACAUUUUUUAUCCAUGUAACAUUUGUUUGCUUUUUAAGCUCAAUAGUUUGACUGAUUGAUUGCUUCAUCCUGGAUUUUUCCAGGAAUGUAUAAUGUAAUAUGUUAAGCAGAUGUAACACUUAAGAGGUGAUCAAAUUACUGACAGUAGUGUGACUAUUUCCAGGGAGAUCGUGGCGUGAAAGGCUAUCCAGGACCCCCGGGGCCUAGGGGAAGUGGAAUGGUUGGUCCCAAGGGUAUUAUGGGACGGAAAGGCUUGCCAGGUCCACCUGGCCCCCCAGGGGACAGCAUACAAGGAAGCAAGGGAGAAAAAGGAAAUCAAGGUUUUCCUGGGCCAAAGGGUUCAAUAGGCAUUGGCUUUCCUGGACCAAAGGUAAAUCCUAGAUUUGCAAUAAGGAAAGACAUAAUUUUUUUUCUUCCUUCAUUGCUUAUUUGGUGUGACAGGUCUUUGCAGAUAAACAGAAGGCAAAGACCAUGCCUUGUACAGAUAGCAAGGUAAGUCUUUACUACUUUUUGUCAGCUUCGCAGUCAAUAAAAAUCCCAAUUGUUACUCUGGAUCA
RNAcentral lists this long non-coding RNA (743 nucleotides) under Struthio camelus australis. RNAcentral describes it as "lncRNA (ENSSCUG00000012897.1)". The record is from RNAcentral. Lineage: Eukaryota; Metazoa; Chordata; Aves; Struthioniformes; Struthionidae.